CCUACGGGAGGCAGCAGCAGGGAAUAUUGCGCAAUGAGCGAAAGCUUGACGCAGCGACACCGCGUGUGGGAUGACGGAUCUAGGUUUGUAAACCACUUUCAGGAGGGAAGAAAAUGACGGUACCUCCACAAGAAGCCCCGGCCAACUACGUGCCAGCAGCCGCGGUAAUACGUAGGGGGCGAGCGUUGUCCGGAUUUAUUGGGCGUAAAGAGCUCGUAGGCGGUUCAACAAGUCGGUCGUGAAAGUUCAGGGCUCAACCCUGAAAUGUCGAUCGAUACUGUUGUGACUAGGAUACGGUAGAGGUGAGUGGAAUUCCGAGUGUAGCGGUGAAAUGCGUAGAUAUUCGGAGGAACACCAAUGGCGAAGGCNGCUCACUGGNUCGNUAUNGACGCUGAGGAGC
Molecule: ribosomal RNA, 400 nt
Filed under: uncultured bacterium
Lineage: Bacteria
Description: bacterial SSU rRNA
Rfam family: Bacterial small subunit ribosomal RNA
Source: RNAcentral